UGGGAAAAAAAGUUUUGGGGAUUUUACUCAAAUAUAAAGAUCUGAAAUGUCUGCAGACUGGUGUGAGCACUGAGGAUGAGGAGCCCAGAGCUGAAUCCUGGAAGUGGUCCCAUGGAUGAGACCAUCCAUCGCUCCACCUGCCCUUAUGAUACCCUCCAUCUCUCCAUCUGCCCUUAUGAGUCCCUCUAUCGCUCCACCUGCCCUUAUUGCCUCAGAUUGUGAAGCGCAGCACAGCAACAAGCUCCGGCAUGAAGGCACAGUCCCCUCUGGUGAAUUCAUCAGAAUAAAGCUGCAGAAUGGGAACCGAUGUGUUGAGUCGGCAGUAGGAUGUGGUGUUCAGCGCCUGUAAAUACAUGCUUGUAGUUUGAAUAAAGCUUUGUUUCAUGUGUU
Pimephales promelas (fathead minnow) is the source of this 390-nucleotide non-coding RNA. The record is from RefSeq and is a predicted model, not a curated record. NCBI's taxonomy places the organism in Eukaryota, Metazoa, Chordata, Actinopteri, Cypriniformes, Leuciscidae.